This 253-nucleotide ribosomal RNA is filed under the name uncultured bacterium. RNAcentral describes it as "partial 16S ribosomal RNA". It matches the Rfam family "Bacterial small subunit ribosomal RNA", at positions 524 to 776 of the family's 1533-position model. The record is from RNAcentral.
UACAGAGGUCCCGAGCGUUGUUCGGAUUCACUGGGCGUAAAGGGCGCGUAGGUGGCAUGGUAAGUUUGAUGUGAAAGCUCAGGGCUUAACCCUGAAAUGGCAUUGAAUACUACUGUGCUGGAGGUUUGGAGGGGGGACUGGAAUUCUUGGUGUAGCAGUGAAAUGCGUAGAUAUCAAGAGGAACACCAGUGGCGAAGGCGAGUCCCUGGACAACACCUGACACUGAGGCACGAAAGCUAGGGGAGCAAACAGG